RNAcentral lists this transfer RNA (66 nucleotides) under Dipodomys ordii (Ord's kangaroo rat). It matches the Rfam family "tRNA". Rfam says of the family: Transfer RNA (tRNA) molecules are approximately 80 nucleotides in length. Their secondary structure includes four short double-helical elements and three loops (D, anti-codon, and T loops). Lineage: Eukaryota; Metazoa; Chordata; Mammalia; Rodentia; Heteromyidae. The record is from Rfam by way of RNAcentral.
GGUGGCUCAGUGGUAGAGCGCUUGCCUCAUAUGCAAGAGGGCCCUGGGUUCGAUUCCUUAGCACCA